CUUGGAAGCAGAGGCUCGCUGAGGCCUGCGGCGGAGGGACAGGGAGCGGGGGCCACACUUGCACCCUAACCUCUCACCGGCAGCGGCCCAACCUCCAGAAACGUGACCUCGUCUGACUCCCGGAUUCUGGACCAAGCAGUUCUGGACCAGCCAACAACCAAGCAGGACUCAAACUGACACCCAGGAGGUAGCAAGUACCAACUUCGCAAAGGAAGAGCCAGAAUGGGGCAGCUGAUGCCUCCAGCCCUUCAACAUCAGACUCCAGGUUCUUCAGUUUUGGGACUCAGACUGGCUCUCCUUGCUCCUCAGCUUGCAGACAGCCUAUCGUGGGACCUUGUGAUCGUGAAUUACCCAGCGGGGACCAUUGGUGAGCAGGAAGAGAACCACCUGUCAUCCUCCUUCUCCCUGCCCCCUGCCACCACAGCAAAGACAGGUGGGCCUGAUCCUCCCAUGUGAGCAGAAAUAAACUAACAAAGAAGUAAAAAGACUUGAGGAACUUUCACAAGUCUGUGCCAUGAAACAGGAUAGAAGGAACAGCAUGAAAAUCAAGAUACCUAGAAACAGGCAGUUAACCUAAUUCAGUUCACCAAUUUGAGAAAUUCUUCAAGUGUCUCUGCUCCAAAUUGAAUAAUUUUCCAAUUUCCUCCUUAAGAAGCCUUCCCUGUUGAUGAUGUGGUUACAAUGACCUGAGUUGAGGUCCAUGCAGAGUUGAGCCAAUAAAACAUAGUGGAUCAGUGAGAGAGACUCAGAGGCAAGUACAACUGUCCUUCAUAUCCACGGGUCCUUCAUAUCCAUGGGUUCUGCAACCAUGGCUUCGACCAAUGGCAGCUCCAAAAUAUUCAGAAAAAAAAAAACAAUAAAAAAAAUAACAGUACAACAAUAAAACAAAUACAUAUGAAACUAUAGUAUAACAACUAUUUACAUAGUAUUUCCAUUGUAUUAGGUAUCAUAAAUAAUCUACAGAUGAUUUAAAAUACAUGCCGCCUGGACUGGUCACAGUGGCUCACACCUGUAAUCCCAGCACUUUGAGAGGCCAAGGAGGGAGGAUCACUUGAGCAAAGGAGUUCAAAACCAUCCUGGGAAAUACAGCGAGACCCUGACUGUACAUGAAAAAUUUUAUUUUAAUUAGCUGGGCAUGUUAAUGCACACCUACAGUCCCAGCUACUCAGGAGGCUGUAAGAGGAUCACUUGGGCCCAGGAAUUCAAAGCUGCACUGAACUAUGCUCACACCGCUGCGCUCUAGACUGGGCAACAGAGCAACACCUUGUCUCUAAUAAAUAAAAUAAAAUAAAGUAUACAGGAGGAUGUGAGUAGGUUAUAUGAAAGUAUGUGCCAUUUCACAUAAGAGACUUGAGCAUCCCUGAAUGCCACUGUAUGCCUACCUCUAGGGAAGGCAGCAGUUUGGCUGAUGAACAUCCAAGGAUUUUAUCUGCACUUCUUGAGCAGAGCAAUGUGGGCCAGAACGGGACCACAGUGCGGGCAUGCAUGGGUGCCGAUUCGAGGGUGACAUAUCUGUCAUCCUAGUAGGGACGUGAUUGUAUUAGUCUGUUCUCAUGCUGCUAAUAAAGGCAUACUCCAGACUGGGUAAUUUAUAAAGGAAAGAGGUUUAAUGGGCUCACAGUUCCACAGGGCUGGGAGGCCUCACGAUCAUGGCAGAAGAAAAAGGAAGAACAAGGGGAAGUCUUCCAUGGUGGCAGGCAAGUGAGCUUGAGCAAGGGAACUCUUCUUAUAAAACCAUCAGGUCUUGGGACACGUAUUCACUAUCACAAGAACAGCAUAGGAAAAACCCGCCCCCAUGAUUCAAGUACCACUCACCAGGUACCCCCAUGACAUGUGGGAAUUAUUACAAUCAAAGGUGAGAUUUGGGUGGGAACACAGCCAAACCAUAUCAAUGAUCUGUAUCUGAAGAAAGUUAUUUCCCUUCCUUUCUACACAUAAGUAACUUUCUUGUCUGUUCCAUACUUUUUAACGUAGAAAAUGUCUUUCUGGUUACCCACUUAGUUGCUUUCUAAACUAACAUUUUUCAAGAACUCUGCUUGUAUUUUGCAAGCUGAUAGAUUAAUCAUUAUGUGUAUUUAACAUCUUUUAUAAAUUUUCACCCAUCCCAUUUAUUUCCUUUCCUCUAUAAUGGAAUUAAAUACUCUCCAACAGUGCAAAAAA
This is a long non-coding RNA of Callithrix jacchus (white-tufted-ear marmoset), 2160 nucleotides long. RefSeq lists it as uncharacterized. Lineage: Eukaryota; Metazoa; Chordata; Mammalia; Primates; Cebidae. The record is from RefSeq and is a predicted model, not a curated record.